UACGUAGGCAGCAAGCGUUGUUCGGAGUUACUGGGCGUAAAGGGUGCGUAGGUGGCUCUAUAAGUAUGGUGUGAAAUCUCCCGGCUUAACUGGGAGGGUGCGCUAUAGACUGCGGGACUAGAGGGUGGGAGAGGAAAGUGGAAUUCCUGGUGUAGCGGUGAAAUGCGCAGAUAUCAAGAGGAACACCAGUGGCGAAGGCGAGUCCCUGGACGACACCUGACACUGAGGCACGAAAGCUAGGGGAGCAAACAGG
Molecule: ribosomal RNA, 253 nt
Filed under: uncultured bacterium
Lineage: Bacteria
Description: partial 16S ribosomal RNA
Rfam family: Bacterial small subunit ribosomal RNA
Source: RNAcentral